This 365-nucleotide ribosomal RNA is filed under the name uncultured eukaryote. RNAcentral's name for it is "partial 18S ribosomal RNA". It matches the Rfam family "Eukaryotic small subunit ribosomal RNA", at positions 592 to 975 of the family's 1831-position model. The record is from RNAcentral.
CAAUAGCGUAUAUUAACGUUGUUGCAGUUAAAAAGCUCGUAGUUGGAUUUCUGGAGGGAGCGUCGGCCCGUAUUUACGAGUGCGUGACGUCUCUGUCCAUCCUUGCGGGAAGGCACGCCAUUGAUUUGUUGUGUCGGAUCGCAUCAUUUACUGUGAAAAAAUUAGAGUGUUCAAAGCAGGCUUUCGCUUGAAUACAUUAGCAUGGAAUAAUAAGAUAGGACUUUGGUGCUAUUUUGUUGGUUGAGCCUAAAGUAAUGAUUAAUAGGGAUAGUUGGGGGCACCUGUAUUGCGUUGUCAGAGGUGAAAUUCUUGGAUUUACGCAAGACAAACAGCUGCGAAAGCGUCUGCCAAGGAUGUUUNCAUUA